This 7496-nucleotide long non-coding RNA is filed under the name Durio zibethinus. RNAcentral's name for it is "long non-coding RNA (DZIB_LNC001341)". Lineage: Eukaryota; Viridiplantae; Streptophyta; Magnoliopsida; Malvales; Malvaceae. The record is from RNAcentral.
AGUAGUCUUGUUGGAUUUCUGGCCAAGUCCAUUUGGAAUGAGAAUGAGGAUUGCUUUGGCUGAGAAAGGGAUAAAAUAUGAGUCAAAGGAAGAAGAUUUGAGGAACAAGAGUGAUUUGCUUUUGCAGAUGAAUCCUAUUCACCAAAAAAUCCCUGUUCUUAUCCAUAAUGGUAAACCUGUUUGUGAGUCACUCAUCCAGGUUCAGUACAUUGAUGAGGUUUGGCAUCAUAAAUCUCCUUUGCUUCCUUCUGAUCCUUACCAGAGAGCUAUUGCUAGAUUCUGGGCUGAUUUUGCUGACAAGAAGGUACUUUCGUUUUUUACUUUUUUCUACUUUUUCUAAGUCUAAGUUUUCUUUGAUUUAGUCAGACUGACUUUGAAUUUUGGAGGGUUUUCUUUUUAUUUAUAAACCAGCAGUCUACUAAUUAAGAAUUGACUGCUAAUGCUAGUGUGAUAACUUUAAUCAAUAGACUGUUUUGAUUUGAGAUACUUUUGAGUUUCAAUUUUUUUUCUUUUUUUUGGGGUAAUUUUGAUAAUUAGAUGCCUAAUCAAGUCAAGUUGUGGUGAAUAGUAUAUUUUGGUAUAAUUGAUAUUGAAUCAAGCAGUGAGAGAUAACAUUGUUUAAUAAAAAUGCAGAUGUCUGACCUUGGGAGGAAAAUAUGGGCAACUAAGGGAGAAGAACAGGCAAAUGCAAAGAAAGAAUUUAUUGAGAGCCUGAAGCUGUUGGAAGGAGAGCUUGGAGACAAGCCUUACUUUGGUGGAGAAAAUCUUGGUUAUGUAGAUGUUGUCUUUGUCCCAUUUUACAGCUGGUUUUAUGCCUAUGAGAUGUGUGGUGACUUCAGCAUUGACGCAGAGUGCCCCAAACUGAUGGCAUGGGCUAAAAGGUGUCUGGAAAAGGAGAGUGUAUCCGAGUCUCUUCCUGACCAAGAAAAAGUCUAUGGCUUUGUUUUGCAAAUGAAGAAAGCCUUUGGAAUUGAGUGAAAUUGUGGAGGGGCUACUUUUAGUUUUCAUGUUUUAUGGUUGGUUUGAAUAAAUGGGCAUUUAGUUGUGCCUCGUUGUUUUGUGUUGUUAGGGUGAAUGUUUUCUUUUCUUUUUUUUUUUUUCCUGUUCUGAAAGAUAGUCAGAGCACUUAGAUUUGGUUGUGAUUCUGAUUUGAAAUUUGAAGUUAUUAAAAAGUAAUACGUUUCCUAAAUAUGUUUUACCUGGUAUUUUUUGUGCACAUAUUCUUUUUAAUUUCAGUUUUUUUUUAUCAAUUUGGCAACUUGGCUAUCCAUGUGGAUCGCAAAAAUUUCUGGUCUACUAUGACAAGAAUAGGAUAAAUUAUCAUUGAUGUCAAUUUUUUUUUAUUGUAAGAAUGUUUUCCUAAUUUCAACGAAAAAAUUGCAAGCCAUCUCUUUGUGAUUUUGUUUUAAAGCAUACUCAACUAAAUUUUGCUGAGUAAUGUAUAAGUCAAAAUCAAUUUCAAUUGAUGCUAAAAUUUGGACCUAAUUAACCAUUGCAAGGUUUUUCAAUAAAAAAUUACUUUUUGGUUUUUUUUUUUUUAUCUCUUUAAAUUCUAAUGUGAUGUAAUCAUCAUAUCAAUGUAUUAAGUAAUAAAUAGUUUAAGAAUUUUACAUAACAAUGCUCUUAGAUUGUUGAUAAUAAUCAUAUAUUAUUUUAUAUGAUGAUUAGAUUUUCAUCCAAAAACGUAAAAAAAAAUUUUAUCAAUGAGAGUUAUUUUUCAAAUCAUUUUAAAAUAAAUUAAAUUUCUGAUUGGUAUCCAUCAAAAUAUGUCUCUUUUUUUAUAAAUAAAAUUUCACUUUUUAAUCAUUUUAUACAAGACAAUUUAUAUGAUUUUAAAUACGAACAUGUUAAUAAUUUUGAAUCAUACUCAUGAGAACUUGUUCAUACCUUAUAUCUUUUGUAGAACAAUGAUUCUUAUUUUAUAAUUUUUUUUUCAUUCAAUAAAAAAUUAAAAACGUUGGUUUCUUUUAAAUAACCUUAAUAAUAAUAAUAAGGUUAUUUUGAAAUUUUUUUUAUUUUCAAUGAUUUUUUUAUGCAAUAUAAAGAAAUGAUUUAUAAUAUUAUAUUAAUCAUGAUGAUCUAAAAUCAUUACUCAUCAAAUUAUUUUAAUAAUUUUAUAAUCACGAUAAUUAGAUCACUACAAUUAUUUUAAAAGUGAUAAAAAAAAAAAAACUAUUCUUCAACUUUAACUUUCUCAUGAUUUUUUGAGGUUUAAUAUGUUUGGUGUGAUAAUGGGCUCUUAAGCCCAAAAAAAUUAGAUUUAAAGGCGAUGGAUAAGCCUACGAAUUAGUGCUAUUUUCAUUGAAUCGUUUUUGUCUUAAAUUUUGUAUUUCCUCACAUGAUAUAUAUAUAUAUAUAUAUAGUUAUUGAAUGAAUUCACAAAUGAUCUAUUAAUUCAUGAGUGAGUAAAUUAAUUCAUAAAUGAAAUAUUAUAAUUAUAAUUAAAAUAAUUAUUGUAUGCUAUAUUAGGGAAUACAAAUAUUUUUUGGGUAACUUGGCUGUCCAUAUGGACCGCAAAUUUCUAGCCAAAUUUGACAAGAACAGGAUGAAUUAUCGUUGAUGUCAUUUUUUUUCUAUUGUAAUUAAGAAUGUUUUCCUAAUUUCAACUAAAAAAAUUGCAAGCCACGUCUUUGUAAUUUUGUUUUAAUGAAUACUUAAUUAAAUUUUGAGGGGAUAGUAGAAAUCAAAAUAAUUUUGAAUAGAUGUCUAACUUUGGACCUAAUUAACCAUUGCAAGGUUUUUCAAUAAAAAGUUUACAUCUUGGUUUUUUUUUUAAAUGUUUUAGAAUAUCUUUAACAUCGAAAGUGAUGUAAUGAUUAUAUAACUGUAUUUAAGUAAUAAACAAUUUCAUAAUCUUACAUGAUAGUAAUUUUAAAUUAUUGAUAAUAAUUAAAUAUUCUUUUAUAUAAUAAUUUAAUUUUCAUAUAAAAAAUAUAAGAAAAUUUUAUCAUUGAGAGUGAGAAUGAUUUUUAAAAUCAUUUUAAGAUAAAUUUAUUUUCAAAUUGGUAUCCAUCAAAAUAUGUUUCUCUUUAAAUUUUUUUAAAAAACAAACUUUCACUUUUUUAAAUCAUUUUGUACAAGAUAAUUUAUAUGACUUUAAAUAUGAACAUUAUAAUAAUUUUGAAUUAUACUCAUAAGAACUUAUUCAUACCCUAUAAUUUUUUUUUUCUAAAUGGUAUAAAAAGCCCUUUGAACUAUAAUUAAAAUAUCAUUCCAGCUUUUAUUUUUUUAUUGUAACCAAUCAAUUCUUUCAACAUUUACAUGCAUCCAAUUAAAUUUUAUUUGGAUGAAAAUGUUUCCUUAAUUUUUUUUUGUCAACUAAUAUAAAAUUUCUUGUGAAAUCUAUAAAAUAGAUGAAAGUUUAUCACGUAAUAUAAUUAAUAUUUAAAAAUUAAAUAAAAUAAGCUUUUCUUUUUUUUCUCUCUCUAUUUUCUUUGUUUCCUUUUCUCUAAGAUCUCUAUAAAGAAUUAAUUGACUAAAUUUUAUUACAUAAUUAGAUUUUAUUCAUUUAAAAAUUUAUCUUUUUAUUGAGUCAGUAAAAAGUUUCAGUUCAAAGUUAAUCCCAGCCGAUAUUUAGGAUUUCUAUCAACACCUUUACUUGGCGUGGAUGUUCCAUAAAGAAGCGUGGAGUUAAGGAUGCAUAUGUUAAGCAUCUUUGGUUUUGGGUAUGUAGAGUAUUUAUUUUAUUGAUAGGGUUUUCUAUGCUUAUGGAUGUUUUGGAUAUUGAAAAUAUUUUUUUUGUUAGGGAAUAUUGACUCAAAUAUCAUAAACGAUUUAUUUGGAAUUAAAUUAACUAAAUAUUACUUGAUGAAUAAAAAUAUUUGCAAGAGAAGAAUUUUAAGAGAAAAUAUAUUUUUAAUAGACAAGUUUAUAUGCUUAUAAAUAAAUAAAAUUUCUAUUAGGUUAAGUAUGAGAAAAAAUAUAAGAGAGCUAUAGGGUUUAUGGGAUAAACACUCCCUAAGACUAUUGAAAAUUUACGAAAGAGACUGAAAAAGUUUACAUAGGUAUAGUGCCUUGGUGCAUAUAGAUAUGCGUUUAUUUGGAUUAAGAAUACUCCGUGUAAAUUGUUUGCUUUUGUAUCCAACACAUUCUUUGGACAUUUUGGAAGCAAAAGUUAAGGACCAAAAGUGGUGGUGAAAGGAGCCAAAUUUGUUUUUGGCCUUCCAAAAGUUUUCUCUUUUAGCAAGGGAUCUAUUUACAAUGCAAUUUCGGAGAUGUCUUCUGGUGUCAUGUAGCCGUGAACAUAUAGUCAUUGUAUAAAGUGGCCUCUGAACUCAAAACUUGUUCAAUUAUGUAUCUAAAUCUUAAAAAUUGUGUGCAUUUUGGUCGGAUAACUGAUAGAAUUGAUUAAUGUGCUAAGUAGAUAGAUGGGUUUGUUAACUAUAGAACAGUACAAAGUAUAUUUUAUUAAACACUAUGUGUAAGCAUUUUGAUGGCAUGUGAUGCCCAUGUGGACUGGAAACUUGCCUGGAUUAUAACACAUAUCUCACUUGCCUGAUGGAUAUAUUCAUGCAAUAAAAUAACUGCUUGAGAUCUAGUUUAUUGCAAACUGCAACAUACCUGACACCUUGUGUGAAAUUUCUUUUUUUCUCUAACAAGUUUGACUAGCUGUUCUACAUAUAAUUAACAGAAAGGCAGGUCAAUGCCGCUAGAAUUGAAAGUGUAGGCACCGGAUGGAAUACUUCCUUUUUUCAGUUUUAAGGAUCAUGUUACUCGUUGAUUAUUGGUGUAGGGGUCAUUUAUAGCGUCAUUUCUUUUAUUAUCACAUGAAAUCCCACCAGUAUGGUGGCUGUAAAGUGUCAAUAAAUUACCUAAAUCCUGCCGAGUCACAAUCUAAUCAAUCUGCAUUAUCAACACUUGGUACGGAACAUGUAAAAAUCAUUUAGCUCCAUUUGAUUAGUGCUUUUGUUUUUUUUACUUUUUCUAUUUGUUUUUUUAUUUUCAGUAUUGUUUUUUUUUCUUUCUCAUUUUGUAUUGAAGAAAAUAAAAAGCAAAUAACAAAAGCGUAAAUAAAAGGCAGCCUUAAAUUGGAAGUGCUAAAAUACUUGGUGGACGUAAAAUGAUUGUUUUCAAUCUUUGUCUGCAUUGAACUAACUGCUAUUGAUAUAAUCUUCAGUCCUCUACUGCUAAUUUAUUCUGUUUGCACCUUUUGAAUGUGCAGAGAAUACUGGAACACAAAAACACCUGCAACUUAUCAUUGCAUAUGCCGUGACAAGCCUCUUUUUAAGUAAGUCUUUGAUUUUGUUAGGAAUUUCCAACUAAAAUCAAUUGAACCUACAACAUUCCAAACAUUUAUCAAUACAUGAUCCUCUCCUCCAGAUCAUCGACUAAAUUUGACAGAACUGGCUGGCCUUCAUAUUAUCAGCCUAUAGGAAACAAUGUGAAGUCAAAAUUAGAUCUGUCCAUAAUUCUUAUGCCUCGCGAAGAAGUUCUGUGUGCUGCUUGCAAUGCUCAUCUUGACCAUGUCUUUUAUGAUGGUCCUCCACCUACAGGAAAGCGUUAAAGCAUAAAUAGGUAAAACAUUUUCUUUUAAUGCCGGGUUGUGUCUAAUCUUAUGCAAUUUAUUCUUUAUGGACUUCAUUUGAGCUAUGGUUAUUUUGCAGCGAUCCCCUAAAACUGAAACCCAAGUAAGAAAUAGUAUUAAGCUUGCAGUCGCAAAGCACAGACGAGACACUUGUGAUUGAAAAAAAUGAAAUAAUAUUUUCACUGAAUUUGGUGUAUGAUGUUCAACUAAUUUCAUGUGACAGCAAAUCCAUGUAAUUUUGUAGUAUUCAUGUAAGCCUGAUGGCACAAAGGCAUGAUAAAAUCCUUGCAACAAGUUAUUGGUAGUAUAAAACCCUUAAAAAAUGCAUAUGAAGUUGUAUAAAACAAAUUAAAGAUUAUUUUAUUUUAUUAAUAUCUUGAAGAUAAAACACCUUGUUCAAGGUUGAGCCAGUAAUAUAUCAGAAAAAAUUUAUAAUUAAUAAUACAUUAAUUUAGUAAGAAUAACACAUUAAAUUAAAUAUAUAAUUGAGAACAAUAUUGUACCUAACUUCAAUCUUUACUUAUAGGCAUCCGUUACUCAAACUUAGGGAAGAAAUGUUACAUGAUAUAAACAAAUGAUUACAUAAUAAAAAGAGAGAUAUUUGCUGAUGAGUACAAUAAAAACAUUUUUUAAUAAAAUUUUACUAACGAGUCUUUUAUAUAUUUAUAAAAUUACAUAACAUAUUAUUUAUAGUAUUUUUUAUGUUAUAUAUAAUAAUUAUUGUGAUAAUUUUAAUGUAUCUGAAAAAAUAUUUUCGUACCACGGGAAUAUUAGAAUGACCUAAACAAUGGUUUGGCAAAAUCCUAAGUACUGAAAUAACUUCAAAAAUGUUAUAAGCUGUGAUGAUUAAAUGUAAAAUACAAAUAUAUAAACUUUUUAAAAAAUUUUUAGGUUAAAAUAAUACAAGUUCAUAAAUUUUAUUUCUUUAUUUAAAUAAACUUUUUUUUAUUUUUAUUGAACUUAAAUAAUUUUUUUUUAUUUUACAUUCAAAUAAACUUUUAAAUUUUAAGUUUAUCUAAAUAUAUAUUUAUCAUCUAAUUUGUAUUUAAAUGUAUUAUUUAAAUACACUAAAAAUAUAAAAUGUUAUCUAAAUAAAAUAAUAAAAUUCAAAAACCCUUUUAAUAUUUUAGUCAAAAUUUAAAUGACAUUUAUUACUAUCAUAAUAUUUUUGUAGUAGCAAAUUUCUUGAGACCGAAAAAAAAAAUAAAAGAAAAAGAAAAAUCAAAUGAAAAACACAAUAGAUGAGCGAAAAUUUCUGUGUAUGUUUGAUGGCGCAUGCAAUUGCAUAACAGCAACAUCGUUUCUUGUCAGAAAACGAAAGUGUCAGUAAUACAUAUUUAGAAAAAUAAAAAACUAAUUUUUAUGGAUCCUGUGAUGUAAGCAAUGGCAUAUAAUCUGUGUAUCCUUUUGUAGUAAAAGAAAGUCCACCAACUUCCCUAAACUAAUUUUUGUAGAUCCCGUGACAUAAGCAAUUACAUAUAGUUUGAGUAUUCUUUUAUCGUAAUAGAAGGCCCUCGAAGCACCAACGCUCCUAAAUUUUUUUGUAUAUAAAUACACUUUGACAAACCCUUUUUCAUCGAAAACCAAAACCAAAACCAAAACAAAACCAAGGGUUUUUUUUUAAGUCUUCUUAAAUUUUUAGUUGAGUUUCAAAUCUGUGAUUGUUUAGUUUAUCAAAAUGUCGGAGGAAGUAGUUGUGUUGGAUUUCUGGCCAAGUCCAUUUGGAAUGAGAAUGAGGAUUGCUUUGGCUGAGAAAGGGAUAAAAUAUGAGUCAAAGGAAGAAGAUUUGAGGAACAAGAGUGAUUUGCUUUUGCAGAUGAAUCCUAUUCACCAAAAAAUCCCUGUUCUUAUCCAUAAUGGUAAACCUGUUUGUGAGUCACUCAUCCAGGUUCAGUACAUUGAUGAGGUUUGGCGUCAUAAAUCUCCUUUGCUUCCUUCUGAUCCUUACCAGAGAGCUAUUGCUAGAUUCUGG